CAUGCAAGUCGAGGGGAAACGACAUCGAAAGCUUGCUUUUGAUGGGCGUCGACCGGCGCACGGGUGAGUAACGCGUAUCCAACCUGCCCACCACUUGGGGAUAACCUUGCGAAAGUAAGACUAAUACCCAAUGACGUCUCUAGAAGACAUCUGAAAGAGAUUAAAGAUUUAUCGGUGAUGGAUGGGGAUGCGUCUGAUUAGCUUGUUGGCGGGGUAACGGCCCGCCAAGGCUACGAUCAGUAGGGGUUCUGAGAGGAAGGUCCCCCACAUUGGAACUGAGACACGGUCCAAACUCCUACGGGAGGCAGCAGUGAGGAAUAUUGGUCAAUGGACGAGAGUCUGAACCAGCCAAGUAGCGUGCAGGAUGACGGCCCUAUGGGUUGUAAACUGCUUUUAUAAGGGAAUAAAGUGAGUCUCGUGAGACUUUUUGCAUGUACCUUAUGAAUAAGGACCGGCUAAUUCCGUGCCAGCAGCCGCGGUAAUACGGAAGGUCCGGGCGUUAUCCGGAUUUAUUGGGUUUAAAGGGAGCGUAGGCCGGAGAUUAAGCGUGUUGUGAAAUGUAGAUGCUCAACAUCUGCACUGCAGCGCGAACUGGUUUCCUUGAGUACGCACAAAGUGGGCGGAAUUCGUGGUGUAGCGGUGAAAUGCUUAGAUAUCACGAAGAACUCCGAUUGCGAAGGCAGCUCACUGGAGCGCAACUGACGCUGAAGCUCGAAAGUGCGGGUACCGAACAGGAUUAGAUACCCUGGUAGUCCGCACGGUAAACGAUGGAUGCCCGCUGUUGGUCUGAAUAGGUCAGCGGCCAAGCGAAAGCAUUAAGCAUCCC
RNAcentral lists this ribosomal RNA (826 nucleotides) under uncultured bacterium. RNAcentral describes it as "bacterial SSU rRNA". It matches the Rfam family "Bacterial small subunit ribosomal RNA", at positions 54 to 870 of the family's 1533-position model. The record is from RNAcentral.